GCGGUCGUGGCGAAACUGGUAAACGCGCUAGCUUUGGAAGCUAGUUGGGUGCCACCCCAUUGCGGGUUCGAAUCCCGCCGACCGCU
This 86-nucleotide transfer RNA is filed under the name Gemmatimonadales bacterium. Its description in RNAcentral is "tRNA-Pro". It matches the Rfam family "tRNA". Rfam says of the family: Transfer RNA (tRNA) molecules are approximately 80 nucleotides in length. Lineage: Bacteria; Pseudomonadati; Gemmatimonadota; Gemmatimonadia; Gemmatimonadales. The record is from RNAcentral.